ACAGGGGUUUACUUUCUUAAUGACAAAGACAAUGAUGAACGUGGGAGGCUGAGACUGAGAGCGUGCCAGACUGUUAGCUAUGGCUAGCUGAGGGAAAUGGCUUGUGUAGUACUGAGAAUUAUGAGGAGCAAAGCAAUACUUGAUUUUUCUUAGGGAAUGUAAAUAUGUUAAGUUGCUGGAAUUGUACCUGGGUGAAAUUUUGAUCAAGAGCGAAUGUGAUAAAUCAUUUAUAAAGUUUUUAGAGUAUCACACAUUGGAACAGAUUUGGUUUCACGUGAAAAUGGAAUGGUUUACAUUUAGUUCUUAGAAAUUUAUUGUAUGUUAAUUAAUUUCAAUGUUAGAAUGAAUGUUGAAAGCCAUAUGAUAGACAAGUAGGAUUCAAAAGGAUGUGCUGUUAAAAACUGCCUGAUAACCAAUUGAGGUACGAAAGGAAUUGUUUCUCAUCAAAUUACUAGUCGAAUGCUGUACACAUCAUCAAUCCUUCUGGAGAAGAGAAUGACCUUUGUUAGGGAUGUGGGUUGGUAAAUUGUCCCACAUUGAUGACACAUCACCACAAAACCAAGAAAAAAAUUGUAUCAGGAAACGAUCAUUCUGGAGUCUUCUCGUCGGGAAAUCAAACCAUUAACCCUGCUUGACAGGUUUCCACGAUUGAUUCCUCAUCAUAACGACAGUCAACAAAAUUUUAUGAAAAACUCCAAUUGCCAAAAGGUUUUUCGUCCAACGAGAUCGAAUUGAAACACCUCGCUGAAAUCUGGUUUACUUUUAUAACCGAUUGCUAAGACAGAUCGUUGAUUUCGGAAAUAUUAGUGCCAGUAAAAUUUUCUUCGCUUCUACCUUUUAUUUGCAAGGGAAAUGCUACGUUUUUUUUAUAUAAUUUUUUAUUUAACCCAAAGCCUCGCUGGAUCAAAACAUGUGGCAUGAUAGCAGCCUCCUGCUGUUAUAUUCUUAUUUUUGUCUCGUUAUCGGGGGUGUCUGUUUUACAAGAUCAGUGUGUUGUAAAGCGAUAUUGGGGCUUCAACCGUGUUGAAUUGUUCAUUCCUCAACGAAGUAAAAAAAAAUAACAAUGAAAUUAUUAUUGAUAUGGAUGGCUUUACGUGUCCCGGUCAACGUAGUCAACCUACACAGGUGAUUAGAUUCGUGAUCGGCUCACGGUUUUUUCCGUUUCUUAGGUGUAAUAGGUAAUAGUUAUUGAUAACCGAAAAAAUUACAAACUGUUUCUGUAGUUACUGAUAUGCUGUGAUUAUCACCUGUCACCCCCUUUUAAAGCAAAUUGUGCAGUACCAAUUCUGUGAGGUACACACAGUUUUACGAUCAAAGCCUUUGUGAUGUUAUAAUUUUUUUUAUUUAUUUAAAUUUUGUUACUAGUUUCCAUAAUCAAUUUACAAAUAAAGGCGAUUUUGUCA
Molecule: long non-coding RNA, 1403 nt
Organism: Daphnia carinata
Lineage: Eukaryota; Metazoa; Arthropoda; Branchiopoda; Diplostraca; Daphniidae
Exons: 2
Source: RefSeq, a predicted model, not a curated record